AAGUCGUAACAAGGUUUCGUCGUUGGACGAGAUCCUUCUCGGAAGCCUUUCACGCAACGACUCUAACCAUGUGUGUAGUCUAUAGAAGUAGGCGACGUCGUCCCUAUGCUGGAACGUUAUAAUUAUAUAAUCCACCAGCAGCCAGGCAUUUCUGGUCCACAGAUUAGGUGAUGGCGGUCCUUGGAUUGCCCCAAGGAUCAAGAUAUAAUCGGUCUUUGAUAUUUGAUAUUAAAUGAACAACGUUCCGUAGGUGAACCUGCGGAAGGAUCAUUACCGAGUUAGGGUCCUCUGGGCCUCAUCUCCAACCCUUGUCUAUUCUACCACGUUGCUUUGGCGGGCCCGUCUUUGACCGGACCGCCGGGGAUCUCCGUCCCUGGCCAGCGCCCGCCAAUAGCCCCCAAAAUUCCAUAAACAGUGAUUGUCUAAAUCCAAAAUAAAUAAUUUAAAACUUUCAACAACGGAUCUCUUGGUUCUGGCAUCGAUGAAGAACGCAGCGAAAUGCGAUAAGUAAUGCGAAUUGCAGAAUUCCGUGAGUCAUCGAAUCUUUGAACGCACAUUGCGCCCUUUGGUAUUCCGAAGGGCAUGCCUGUUCGAGCGUCAUUAUCAACCCUCAAGCUUGGCUUGUUAUUGGGUCCCGUUGAAUGUAAAUCUCAACGGACCUCAAAGAUAAUGGCAGAGCCUGUACGGACCUGGAUGCAGCGAGCUUCUUAGCACGCAUCACAGCGAUCCUCCGGCUCGGUCUUAACCGUCAUUUUUUCUGGUUGACCUCGGAUCAGGUAGGGAUACCCGCUGAACUUA
Molecule: ribosomal RNA, 798 nt
Filed under: Agonimia allobata
Lineage: Eukaryota; Fungi; Ascomycota; Eurotiomycetes; Verrucariales; Verrucariaceae
Description: eukaryotic LSU rRNA
Rfam family: 5.8S ribosomal RNA (bases 447-600)
Source: RNAcentral